UUUUUGGGCGGGAGUUUCUGGCUUCACGUAUCGACGUCUCUUCUUCACGCGCAGCGCGAGCACCGAGGAGGAGGGAAACAGAAAAUGGCGGACGGUGUCGACCACAUCGAUAUUUACGCCGAUGUAGAAGAGGAAUUUAAUCAGGAGUCAGAUUAUCCUGUUCAUGAGCAGAUUGACCUGUAUGAUGAUGUCAUGUCACCAUCUGCCAACAACGGGGACGCACCUGAAGACCGAGAUUAUCUGGACAACCUGCCUGUGCCGGGAGGAUCCGAGGGGAACAAAGGAGCUGCGCCGAACGUCGUCUACACCUACACUGGCAAACGAAUCGCUCUGUACAUCGGCAACCUCACAUGGUGGACCACUGACGAAGAUUUGACCGAUGCUAUUCACUCAGUAGGCAUCAAUGAUGUGCUGGAGAUCAAGUUUUUUGAGAAUCGAGCAAAUGGACAGUCAAAAGGGUUUGCUCUGGUCUGCGUGGGUUCAGACUCCUCGUCCAGGAAGCUGAUGGACCUGCUGUCCAAACGGGAGCUGCACGGACAAAACCCAAUCAUCACUCCUUGCAACAAACAGUCGCUCAGCCAGUUUGAGAUGCAGUCGCGAAAAAGCAUACAGUCUGGGCAGAUGUCCGGAGAGGGGAAGGCAGGGCCUCCAGGCUCAGGAUCUCGAAGUGGCUUCCCUCUUGGCAAGAAUCGAGGGCGCUUUCCCACCCCACCUGGCCCGGGAGGAGACCGCUUUCCUGGACCAGGUGGACCUGGUGGACCUCCACCACACUUCCCAGGUAUGCAAGGCCCGCCGCGUCCUCCCUCAGGUCCACCUGGGCCUCCAGGACCCCCUGGCCCGCCUCCACCUGGGCAAGGUCUGCUGCCGCCCCUCAGAGGUCCUCCCAACAGAGGAGACCGUCCUCCUCCACCCGUCAUGUUUCCUGGUCAGUUUGGUCAGCCUCCUAUGGGUCCGAUGCCUCCUGGCCCGCCCCCACCUGGAUUCGGGCCUCCCCCAGGCCCCCCUCCACCUCAGCAGGGUCUGCCCCCUCCGGGACCCUUCCAUCCCCGUCCACCUGGGCCCUUAGGACCCCCGCUUGGCCUCGCACCUCCACCUCACAUGCAGGGACCCCCGCCUGGAGGUCCACCUCCGGCCCCUCACGUCAACCCGGCCUUCUUCCCACCGCCUGGAAACAACAACAUGCCAUCGUCCGACAGCAGGGGCCCACCGCCGGGUGAACUGUACGGCCGCCCACCUCCAUACGACAGAGACUUCGGCCCUGGCGGCAGUAACUUCAGACCCCCUGUAGUAUGUGGCUUUGAGCCCUGGAUAAACGAAGGGUUGGUUGAUGUGAAAAACUCUGGCCGGCACUUGCACGGUACAAGUGAUCAAGGGGACAUGGAUUCGUCUCGCGCUCCUCUGAGUGAAGCUGAGUUUGAGGAGAUCAUGAAUCGUAACAGAGCGAUAUCCAGCAGUGCUAUCUCGAGGGCAGUGUCAGAUGCGAGUGCAGCUGAUUACGGCAGUGCUAUAGAGACUCUGGUGACCGCCAUCUCUCUGAUCAAGCAGUCGAAGGUUUCUGCUGACGACCGCUGCAAAGUCCUCAUCAGCUCACUGCAGGACUGCUUGCAUGGAAUCGAGUCCAAAUCCUAUGGCUCUGCGUCGAGACGGGAACGGUCCAGGGAGAGGGACCACAGUCACUCUCGUGAGAAGCAUCGCCGCAAGUCUCGCAGCCGAGACCGACACGAGGACUAUUACAGAGAGCGCAGCCGCGAGAGGGACCGUCAUCGUGAGAGAGACCGUGACCGCGAGAGAGACAGAGAACGUGAGCGGGAGUAUCGCCGUUAGUUGGAGAGGAAGGUGUGUAUCCUGUUUGUCUCCCUGUCUUUGUUUUUCUCCCAUCUUUCUUAAGGAUUCAGAUGUACAUGCAUCUUAUCCUGCAGAGGUCGGGACCACAGGUACGUGAUCAGAAAAGCGUGAUCGGAGUACUCUGAUCCUUAAAACUUGUGUACCUGGUCUUGAAGCCGUUUAAUGUGCAAUAUCAGCUCCAGCAACCAUAAACUGUCCCACAAUUGUUGAUGAUAUCCAGUUUGUCUUUGAAAGGAUUUUGUGUAUUUCAGCAUUUUAUUUAAAAAAAAUCAAAAUGCAUUUGCAUUUUAAAAUGCAAGUUAUUGCACUUAUUUGUCCAUUUAACUGAGAUUUGCUGCUACUUUUGAGAUUAUGCCAAUGUCAAACAACACUUCCCUCCUUAUUUUACCUAAUUGACCAAUUGCUUGCCAAAAAAAAUUAAAUUCAGGAUAUUUCAUGCCUUUAGAAUUGCGAU
Molecule: RNA transcript, 2299 nt
Organism: Sinocyclocheilus anshuiensis
Lineage: Eukaryota; Metazoa; Chordata; Actinopteri; Cypriniformes; Cyprinidae
Gene: cpsf6
Gene name: cleavage and polyadenylation specific factor 6
Exons: 11
Source: RefSeq, a predicted model, not a curated record